Molecule: ribosomal RNA, 347 nt
Filed under: uncultured Pseudomonas sp.
Lineage: Bacteria; Pseudomonadati; Pseudomonadota; Gammaproteobacteria; Pseudomonadales; Pseudomonadaceae
Description: bacterial SSU rRNA
Rfam family: Bacterial small subunit ribosomal RNA
Source: RNAcentral
UCGAGCGGAUGACGGGAGCUUGCUCCUUGAUUCAGCGGCGGACGGGUGAGUAUUGCCUAUUAAUCUGCCUGGUACUGGGGGACAACGUUUCGAAAGGAACGCUAAUACCGCAUACGUCCUACGGGAGAAAGCAGGGGACCUUCGGGCCUUGCGCUAUCAGAUGAGCCUAGGUCGGACUAGCUAGUUGGUGGGGUAAUGGCUCACCAAGGCGACGAUCCGUAACUGGUCUGAGAGGAUGAUCAGUCACACUGGAACUGAGACACGGUCCAGACUCCUACGGGAGGCAGCAGUGGGGAAUAUUGGACAAUGGGCGAAAGCCUGAUCCAGCCAUGCCGCGUGUGUGAAGA